Molecule: ribosomal RNA, 329 nt
Filed under: Burkholderia sp. CK37
Lineage: Bacteria; Pseudomonadati; Pseudomonadota; Betaproteobacteria; Burkholderiales; Burkholderiaceae
Description: partial 16S ribosomal RNA
Rfam family: Bacterial small subunit ribosomal RNA
Source: RNAcentral
GGCAGGGCUAGAGUUGGUCAGAGGGGGGUAGAAUUUCCACGUGUAGCAGUGAAAUGCGUAGAGAUGUGUAGGAAUAAGAGGGAAGGCAGCCCCUGGGCCAAAAAAAAAAUAAUGCACGAAGCGUGGGGAGCAAACAGGAUUAGUUACCCUGGUAGUCCACGCCCUAAACGAUGUCAACUAGUUGUUGGGGAUUCAUUUCCUUAGUAACGUAGCUAACGCGUGAAGUUGACCGCUUGGGGAGUACGGUCGCAAGAUUAAAACUCAAAGGAAUUGACGGGGACCCGCACAAGCGGUGGAGAUGUGGAUUAAUUCGAUGCAACGCGAAAAAC